RNAcentral lists this ribosomal RNA (450 nucleotides) under uncultured bacterium. RNAcentral's name for it is "partial 16S ribosomal RNA". It matches the Rfam family "Bacterial small subunit ribosomal RNA", at positions 354 to 796 of the family's 1533-position model. The record is from RNAcentral.
GUGGGGAAUAUUGGACAAUGGGCGAAAGCCUGAUCCAGCCAUGCCGCGUGUGUGAAGAAGGUCUUCGGAUUGUAAAGCACUUUAAGUUGGGAGGAAGGGCAGUAAGUUAAUACCUUGCUGUUUUGACGUUACCGACAGAAUAAGCACCGGCUAACUCUGUGCCAGCAGCCGCGGUAAUACAGAGGGUGCAAGCGUUAAUCGGAAUUACUGGGCGUAAAGCGCGCGUAGGUGGUUUUGUAAGUUGGAGGUGAAAUCCCCGGGCUCAACCUGGGAACUGCCUCCAAAACUGCAUGACUAGAGUACGGUAGAGGGUAGUGGAAUUUCCUGUGUAGCGGUGAAAUGCGUAGAUAUAGGAAGGAACACCAGUGGCGAAGGCGACUACCUGGACUGAUACUGACACUGAGGUGCGAAAGCGUGGGGAGCAAACAGGAUUAGAAACCCGAGUAGUCC